RNAcentral lists this transfer RNA (77 nucleotides) under Pseudomonas sp. MM227. Its description in RNAcentral is "tRNA-Arg". It matches the Rfam family "tRNA". From Rfam's summary of the family: Transfer RNA (tRNA) molecules are approximately 80 nucleotides in length. The record is from RNAcentral. Lineage: Bacteria; Pseudomonadati; Pseudomonadota; Gammaproteobacteria; Pseudomonadales; Pseudomonadaceae.
GUCUCAGUAGCUCAAUUGGAUAGAGCAUCCCCCUCCUAAGGGGAAGGUUGCAGGUUCGAGCCCCGCCUGGGACACCA